AGUAGACUUGAAUAUGCCUCUGGGCAAAGAAGCAGAGCUAACGAGGAAAGGGAUUUAAAGAGUUUUUCUUGGGUGUUUGUCAAACUUUUAUUCCCUGUCUGUGUGCAGAGGGGAUUCAACUUCAAUUUUUCUGCAGUGGCUCUGGGUCCAGCCCCUUACUUAAAAUCUGGAAAGCAUGAAGACUGGGCUUUUUUUCCUAUGUCUCUUGGGAACUGCAGCUGCAAUCCCACAAAUGCAAGAUUAUUAUCUGAUCAUUCCAAACCAACUGCUGAAACGGUAGCACCUGACAACACUGCAAUCCCCAGUUUAAGGGCUGAAGCUGAAGAAAAUGAAAAAGAAACAGCAGUA
Molecule: long non-coding RNA, 348 nt
Filed under: Homo sapiens (human)
Lineage: Eukaryota; Metazoa; Chordata; Mammalia; Primates; Hominidae
Description: non-protein coding lnc-HSD17B11-3:1
Source: RNAcentral